RNAcentral lists this long non-coding RNA (1069 nucleotides) under Cyanistes caeruleus (blue tit). RNAcentral describes it as "lncRNA (ENSCCEG00000004409.1)". Lineage: Eukaryota; Metazoa; Chordata; Aves; Passeriformes; Paridae. The record is from RNAcentral.
AAUCUCAAAUUUACCACAAAAUCUCCCAAUUUUACCUCAAAAUCUCUUGAUUUUACCACAAAAUCUCCCAAUUUUACCUCAAAAUCUCUUGAUUUUACCACGAAAUCUCCCAAUUUCACCCCAAAGUCUGGAAUUUACCCCAAAACCUCCCGAUUUCACCAAAAUCACUCCCCAGAUUUAGGCCCAGAGAGCCUAAAAACCUCCAGAUUUCCCCCCAAAAUCCCUCCAGAAACCACCAAACCUCCUGAAUUUCACCCAAAACCUCCUGAAUUUCACCCAAAACCUCCUGAAUUCACUCGAAACCUCCUGAUUUCCCCCCAAACAGCCCCAAAAUCUUUUUUUAUUUCCCCACAAAUCUCACCUGAGGCCCCUCGAAACCUCUGGAUUUCCCCCAAAACCUCCACAAAUCCCCUCAUUUCUCCUAAAACCUCCCCAAAUCCCCUCCUUUUCCCUCAGAACUUCCUCAAAUCCCCUCAUUUCCCUCAAAUCCCCUCAUUUUUCCUCAAAACCUCCUCAAACCCCCUCGUUUUCCCUCAAAUUCCCUCAUUUUUCCUCAGAACCUCCCAAAACCCCUUUGUGUCCCUCAAAUCCCUUCGUUUUCCCUCAAAACCUCCCCAAAUCCCCUCAUUUCCCUCAAAUCCCCUCAUUUUCCCUCAAAAGCUCCUCAAACCCCCUCAUUUUCCUUCAAAUCCCCUCAUUCCUCCUCAAAACCUCCCCAAAUCCCUUCACGUUUCUCAAACUCCCUCUUUUUCCCUCAGAACUUCCCCAAAUCCCCUAAUUUCCCUCAAAUCCCCUCAUUUUCCCUCAAACCCCCCCAAAGCCCCUCAUUUUCCCUCAGAACUUCCCCAAAUCCCUUCAUUUCUCCUCAAAACCUCCCCAAACCCCCUAUUUUCCCUCAAAAGUUCCUCAAACCCCCUCAUUUUCCCUCCAAACCUCCCCAAACCCCCUAAUUUCCCUCAAAUCCCCUCAUUUUCCCUCAAAACCUCCUCAAAUCCCCUCAUUUUCUCUCAAACCCGCUCAAAUCCCCUCGUUUUCCCUCAAAUCCCCUCGUUUUCCCUCAAAACCUCUC